AUGUGCACGUGGGCUUACAGAUGCCUCCGUGUGGCACAUGAUGACAGUGUGAGUCCUAGCCCCAGACUCAUCCUGCUAGCCCAGGCUGCUGUUGAGGUGUUCCCUCUGAAUUUAAAAGGUGACCUGCAUGGACCAGUAGAGAUAAGGUGUCAGUUUUGCUUCUGUGGUUUGUUCUGCUUUUCGUUUCCCUGA
Molecule: long non-coding RNA, 192 nt
Filed under: Ictidomys tridecemlineatus (thirteen-lined ground squirrel)
Lineage: Eukaryota; Metazoa; Chordata; Mammalia; Rodentia; Sciuridae
Description: lncRNA (ENSSTOG00000031482.1)
Source: RNAcentral